This 545-nucleotide ribosomal RNA is filed under the name Streptococcus pneumoniae. Its description in RNAcentral is "bacterial SSU rRNA". It matches the Rfam family "Bacterial small subunit ribosomal RNA", at positions 1 to 530 of the family's 1533-position model. The record is from RNAcentral. Lineage: Bacteria; Bacillati; Bacillota; Bacilli; Lactobacillales; Streptococcaceae.
UUUAAUGAGAGUUUGAUCCUGGCUCAGGACGAACGCUGGCGGCGUGCCUAAUACAUGCAAGUAGAACGCUGAAGGAGGAGCUUGCUUCUCUGGAUGAGUUGCGAACGGGUGAGUAACGCGUAGGUAACCUGCCUGGUAGCGGGGGAUAACUAUUGGAAACGAUAGCUAAUACCGCAUAAGAGUGGAUGUUGCAUGACAUUUGCUUAAAAGGUGCACUUGCAUCACUACCAGAUGGACCUGCGUUGUAUUAGCUAGUUGGUGGGGUAAGGGCUCACCAAGGCGACGAUACAUAGCCGACCUGAGAGGGUGAUCGGCCACACUGGGACUGAGACACGGCCCAGACUCCUACGGGAGGCAGCAGUAGGGAAUCUUCGGCAAUGGACGGAAGUCUGACCGAGCAACGCCGCGUGAGUGAAGAAGGUUUUCGGAUCGUAAAGCUCUGUUGUAAGAGAAGAACGAGUGUGAGAGUGGAAAGUUCACACUGUGACGGUAUCUUACCAGAAAGGGACGGCUAACUACGUGCCAGCAGCCGCGGUAAUACGUAG